GGAAGCUUCUUCUGCAGCUACCAGGUCUGAUCUAAAGCUCACCAAAGUUAAUGAAAAGACUCCCAUUGACUUUCAGUGGACUUUGGGUUCGAGCCAUGGAGGGAAUUUGUCAAGCAAGCUCCUUCCCUUUAUUAAAUGAUGUAAAGAAAAUGGCAUUUUGGUUUAAAUGGCAUUUUGGUUUAAGAUGCUUUGUAGCUGUGGCAUUCUGCAGGGCUUUCCAUCUCACUAAGUUUGAGGAGAGAGGUCAAGACACUCCCUCCUAACACACACACAAAUGGGAGUUGUUUCUGCCCCUUGGAAAAGGAACUGAAGUCAUGCCCUUUGGCCACACCUUGUGAGUCUCUUCGGCCUUGUCUACACUGUGGGACAAACAUCAUGGUGGAGAACAUGUUAACUAACAGGAUGUUAAGUCUUAAACAUGAUCAGUUAACAUGUUUUAAACAUACCUUGUCCCUGGCUACACUGGGUGUUAAGUGGUUAUUUAAUAUCAUGUUAGUGCAAUUGUAUUAGAGUCUGUCUACACUAGGGGGAAAGCAUGUUGCAAAAUGUUAACCACGUUAAAUUUCUGCUUUCAGGGCAAUGUAAAAAGAUGCAGCCUAGAAGGACCAGUUGUGAGCACUGCCAUCUCAAAGAGAAUUGGGAAGUGCUGUUUGACGUCAGAAGAGGAACAAAUGCAGCAGGGUCGUUGUAUGGAAUCAAGAUACCAGUUACUGAGCUGAACUCAUGGGCACUGGAUUCCCCUAC
Mauremys mutica (yellowpond turtle) is the source of this 744-nucleotide long non-coding RNA. RefSeq lists it as uncharacterized. Lineage: Eukaryota; Metazoa; Chordata; Testudines; Geoemydidae. The transcript is spliced from 3 exons. The record is from RefSeq and is a predicted model, not a curated record.